RNAcentral lists this non-coding RNA (24 nucleotides) under Arabidopsis thaliana (thale cress). The record is from RNAcentral. Lineage: Eukaryota; Viridiplantae; Streptophyta; Magnoliopsida; Brassicales; Brassicaceae.
UUGUAAACGAGGUGGUAAUAUAGG